CGUCUAGGCGGAAGCGCAAGUCAGGGGUGAAAUCACGCGGCUUAACUGCGUGCCUGCCUUUGAAACUGCGUUUCUUGAGUGCGGAAGAGGUGUGGGGAAUUCCCAGUGUAGCGGUGAAAUGCGUAGAUAUUGGGAAGAAUGCCGGUGGCGAAGGCGCCACACUGGUCUAGCACUGACGCUGAAGCGCGAAAGCGUGGGGAGCGAACG
Molecule: ribosomal RNA, 207 nt
Filed under: uncultured bacterium
Lineage: Bacteria
Description: partial 16S ribosomal RNA
Rfam family: Bacterial small subunit ribosomal RNA
Source: RNAcentral